GCUCCUCAAAAGCUUCAAUGGCUUGAUGAAUUAACUCACGAUUAGGAGAAGAGUCCCACUUAAACCAAUAGCUAGUGUAACAAUCAAAACAUUCGCAGUCAAAAACAGGGGAUUUGUGGGUAAUGAAUUUCUUCUUGGAAAAUUUGGGAGAAGUGGUAGUGGGUUUGAGGGACCUAGUGACCAUGUAAGCCAAGACUUCACGGUCUUCAAGAGAGAGGACUGAAGCUAUAGCGAGAAUAGCAGCAGGUAAGAGGU
Molecule: long non-coding RNA, 255 nt
Filed under: Nicotiana benthamiana
Lineage: Eukaryota; Viridiplantae; Streptophyta; Magnoliopsida; Solanales; Solanaceae
Description: long non-coding RNA (NBEN_LNC001329)
Source: RNAcentral